Nomascus leucogenys (northern white-cheeked gibbon) is the source of this 1713-nucleotide RNA transcript. It is a transcript of the gene named radical S-adenosyl methionine domain-containing protein 1, mitochondrial-like, with no coding region annotated. The transcript is spliced from 10 exons. NCBI's taxonomy places the organism in Eukaryota, Metazoa, Chordata, Mammalia, Primates, Hylobatidae. The record is from RefSeq and is a predicted model, not a curated record.
UGUUGGGGUCCGUGCCCUGCGCUGCGCUGGGCGCCAUGGCGUUCCCCGGAGCCCGGGCCCGCGUCUGGGCGGCAGCAGCCAGAGCGGCCCAGAGGAGCCGCCGCGUGGAGAACGCAGGAGAGUCCCCGAGUCCUGAGCCUGCGGGCCGGCUUGCGGCGCUUUACUACACGUGAUGGCCUUACUGCGAGAAGCGCUGCAGUUACUGCAACUUCAACAAGUACAUCCCUCGCCACGUGGAGGAGGCUGCCAUGCAGAAGUGUCUGGUGACCGAAGCGCAGACGCUGUUGCGGCUCAGCGGGGUGCAAUGGGUGGAGUCUGUGUUCUUUGGUGGGGGGACCCCCAGUCUAGCCAGUCCCCACACGUUGGCUGCUGUCCUGGAGGCUGUGGCACAGACAGCCCACCUGCCUGCAGACUCGGAAGUCACAUUGGAGGCUAAUCCUACUUCAGCUCCGGGCUCCAGACUGGCAGAGUUCGGGGCAGCAGGGGUCAACAGGUUGUCUAUAGGCCUCCAGUCCCUAGAUGACACUGAGCUCCGGCUGUUGGGACAGACACACUUGGCCUGCGAUGCUCUGCGGACGCUGGCAGAGGCCCGGCGCCUCUUUCCCGGGCGCGUGUCUGUGGACUUGAUGCUGGGGCUGCCGGCACAGCAGGUGGGGCCGUGGCUUGGGCAGCUGCAGGAACUGCUGCACCACUGUGAUGACCACCUCUCCCUCUACCAGCUGUCCCUGGAGCGGGGAACCGCACUCUUCGCCCAGGUGCAGCGGGGUGCCCUUCCAGCCCCUGACCCGGAGCUCGCAGCUGAGAUGUACCAGAGGGGCUGGGCCGUUCUUCGGGAGGCUGGCUUCCACCAGUAUGAGGUCUCCAACUUUGCCCGGAAUGGAGCGCUCAGUACCCACAAUUGGACUUACUGGCAGUGUGGUCAGUACCUUGGCAUUGGGCCUGGGGCCCAUGGGCGAUAUAUGCCCCAGGGGGCUGGAGGCCACACCCGGGAGGCUCGGAUCCAGACACUGGAGCCUGACAACUGGAUGAAGGAGGUGAUGCUGUUUGGCCAUGGCACCCGGAAGCAUGUCCCCCUGGGCAGGCUGGAGCUGCUGGAGGAAGUUUUGGCCCUGGGGCUACGCACCGACGUGGGGAUCACUCACCAGCACUGGCAGCAGUUUGAGCCCCAGCUGACCCUGUGGGACGUGUUUGGAGCGAACAAGGAGGUGCAGGAGGUGCAGGAGCUGCUGGAGCGGGGCCUACUGCAGCUGGAUCACAGGGGUCUUCGGUGUUCCUGGGAGGGUCUGGCUGUGCUGGACUCUCUCUUGCUGACCCUCCUGCCUCAGCUCCAAGAGGCCUGGCAGCAGAGAACCCCCUCCCCUGUGCUAGGAGGAUGACAAAAUGUUCCUGUGUUCCAGGGUAAUGCCAGGCAAUUACCUCCCCAAGAGAAGCCUUCCUUACUUUGGAGUAAGGUCCUAAGACAGCUGGAUGAGUCAGGAAAACCAUGUCCCCUCUAGGUAUUAUUAAUAUAAGCAGGAAGGGAUCUACUAUAGGAAUGAAGUAUUUAUAAAACCACUGAAAGGGACAGAGAAGUGAAAAUUGGAGAAAGCCAGUAGCAACUGUCAGAAAUCAGCAACGUGCAGGAGGCACAGAAAACUCCUGCUGAUGGUCUCAGCUUCCAGCAGCACAAAAGCAGAUGAUGUACUGGAAAGUGCUCAGAAGAUGCUACAAAAC